AAAAAAGUCUUACCCUGCAUAGAACAUUGUGAUACAGUUUUUGAGUUGCAGUUGGAAAGGACUCGUACUAUUGUGUAUUUUUAUGCUUUAUACCUUUUUGUAAAACGGUGCUGGUGAAGGUGACGAUGCAGUCUAGGUUGGAAGAUUCUUAAACAGGAAACUGAAGGCAAUACUGAAUCGACAGAGAGGAAUAUUAUAGAAACCUUGUUUUCUCAAGAGGACAAUGGGAGUGUAGGCUGCUGGAAGCACUUUUAUUUCUUUUUCUUUGAGUUCUCAUUAUUAAAUAAUAAAGCAUGCUCUUCUCUGCUUUAGCAAAUCAGUGUCAUCAAAUAAGCCAGCAUAAUUAGACUCACGGAUUCCAGCCUGAAUUUCUGGUCAGCAAAAAUGUUAAAGCAAAUCAAAACCAAAAUACUCUCAGUUCGCUUUUCUGAACUGUAACACUAAUAUAAUUUUUCUUUUCAGGAAGGAGAAUGUUCUUGUUUAUGGUUUCCUUUGAUCAAUUACCUCAGAUCAUUCCCAAUGUUAAAAAAAAAAUAGUCUUGACUAGAAUCCUGCUUCAGCAUUUGGGACUGAUGCUGAAAGUAGUCUAGAAGCAUCGGAUCUUUCGCGUGUUUUGCGACGGAAGAGGAAAGUACCUGUCGGCAAUAAGCACUUGUGAGAUUAAAUCAGAUGACGUUUGUGAAGUGCCCACAUACAGGAGUGCCGUUAUCCAUAGAACUGUAGGAAUAUUCACAUUCUUUGUAUCACUGAAUCACUCUUCAAUUAUUGAAUUAUUUGAAUAAUACGUGGACGUGUUUCAUUCUUUUGUGGAUCCACAAGGUAAUAUCAUAAGCUAAGUACGUCCCCACUUUUGUUUG
Long non-coding RNA from Panthera uncia (snow leopard), 857 nucleotides. RefSeq lists it as uncharacterized. The record is from RefSeq and is a predicted model, not a curated record. NCBI's taxonomy places the organism in Eukaryota, Metazoa, Chordata, Mammalia, Carnivora, Felidae. The transcript has 3 exons.